Molecule: ribosomal RNA, 219 nt
Filed under: uncultured bacterium
Lineage: Bacteria
Description: partial 16S ribosomal RNA
Rfam family: Bacterial small subunit ribosomal RNA
Source: RNAcentral
UAACACGUGGGUGAUCUGCCUUUCGGUGGGGAAUAACUCUGGGAAACCAGAGCUAAUACCGCAUGUGCUCCAGAUUUCAUUAGCUGGAGUAAAGAUAUAUUGCCGAAAGAGGAGCCUGCGCCGGAUUAGCUAGUCGGUGGGGUAAUGGCUUACCGAGGCAACGAUCCGUAGCUGGUCUGAGAGGACGACCAGCCACACUGGGACUGAGACACGGCCCAG